CGAGUAAACGGCGUACGUACAAGUACUUCGUACUUACUAAUCGUAAGGCAAUUAACCAUUGCUCACAAAUUCUCAUCGCUUUCAGUUUCAAAAUUAUUCCGCACUUGAUUGACUUCUGCAGGCGAUUCUAAUUGUACUGUUGUUGAACUACUUUACAAAUUAAUGUGCUGAGGUGAGCUAGCUUGCUGACUGCUGACCGUGAAUAAACAGGAUCACCUUAUAGGGAGCCGCCACUAUUCUCAACAUCAUUAAUUCGUGCCGCAAGCUAGGUAGACGCUACAUUUUCGCCAGCUGAUACGAAAACAGCUGAUCUGUUGUAUUUCCCCUGUGCACUAUUGAGCGUCCUACAGUCGACAAUCGAAUACCAGACAUGGAGGCCCCUGUCCCGCAGUCCGUCCAGAAGCCCAUCACCAUCCCACCGAAUGUGGAUCCCUCGGCCAAGAGCACGCUUCCCGUCCGUUCGCCGCAGGAAGGAGGCGACGGCGAAUCUACGUGCUGGCUGUGCUGCUUCCCCAUUCCCAUCUGCAUCCCCAUCCCCUGCGAUUGCUGCUGAGUGCAUCUAAACAGAGCACAAAUCUCGAAUGCAUUCGGUCUGGAUAACCGCUUGAUGCUCUUCAUAUUUUGGAAGGGAUUGCCAUUAAUUCCUGGACCCGUCCGAUGUUACUUUUCGGUUUUAUAAAUUAUGCUGUUUAUUUUAAUUCUGGGAUUUUUCCCAAGGUGAAUGACUGAUACUGCAAUCACGCACGGCACUCACGACCUGGAAAGCGGAGAAGCGCUCCUGCCGAUCGGAAAAUAGUAUCGAUUUUCGUAGUUCGAUGGCUGCCUGUUUAAACAAAUGGUUUUGUAUGUACUAAUGUACAGAAAGCUGCGUUUUAUUGUUUUAACUAUGGAUGGGGCGUUUGCUGUUUUAUAAGGUUGAACUGUGGAAGAUGCUCUGCCGUAAAAAAAAUGCGAUCGUUGCCAGUUGCUGGCACCGGCAAAUGAGCUUAUUUAAAGGGAAAUAAAAUCCGUUUCAGGA
Long non-coding RNA from Paramacrobiotus metropolitanus, 1018 nucleotides. RefSeq lists it as uncharacterized. The record is from RefSeq and is a predicted model, not a curated record. The transcript is spliced from 2 exons. NCBI's taxonomy places the organism in Eukaryota, Metazoa, Tardigrada, Eutardigrada, Parachela, Macrobiotidae.